UACUCAUUUGAUCUUGCUAUGUUAGCCAAACAAUGUUGGAGACUUAUCACAAAUCCCGAUUCUCUGUGUGCAAAGGUAUUGAAAGCCAAGUAUUAUCCAAAUGGGAGUUUGAUUCAUGCAAGAUUAAAAAAUGGAGCUUCAUUCACAUGGAAGAGUAUCAUGAAAGGACUUGAGUUGUUCAAAAAAGGAUACAUUUGUAAGAUUAGCUCAGGGGAGGAAAUCAAUAUUUGGAGUGACCCUUGGGUUCCCUCCACUCUGGACAGAAAGGUCAUUACUCCGCGUGGCCAAGCCUUGUUAACAAGGGUCAACUAG
RNAcentral lists this ribosomal RNA (312 nucleotides) under Triticum aestivum (bread wheat). Its description in RNAcentral is "partial small subunit ribosomal RNA". The record is from RNAcentral. Lineage: Eukaryota; Viridiplantae; Streptophyta; Magnoliopsida; Poales; Poaceae.